AGUGAACGCUGGCGGCAGGCCUAAUACAUGCAAGUCGAACGGCAGCACAGCAGAGCUUGCUCUGUGGGUGGCGAGUGGCGGACGGGUGAGGAAUACAUGGGAAUCUGCCCAGUCGUGGGGGAUAACGUAUGGAAACGUACGCUAAUACCGCAUGCGCCCUACGGGGGAAAGCCGGGGACCGCAAGGCCUGGCGCGAUUGGAUGAGCCCAUGUUCGAUUAGCUAGUUGGCGGGGUAAAGGCCCACCAAGGCGACGAUCGAUAGCUGGUCUGAGAGGAUGAUCAGCCACACUGGAACUGAGACACGGUCCAGACUCCUACGGGAGGCAGCAGUAGGGAAUAUUGGACAAUGGGGGCAACCCUGAUCCAGCCAUGCCGCGUGAGUGAAGAAGGCCCACGGGUUGUAAAGCUCUUUUGUCCGGAAAGAAAAGCAAUCGGUUAAUACCCGGUUGUUCUGACGGUACCGGAAGAAUAAGCACCGGCUAACUUCGUGCCAGC
Molecule: ribosomal RNA, 495 nt
Filed under: uncultured bacterium
Lineage: Bacteria
Description: bacterial SSU rRNA
Rfam family: Bacterial small subunit ribosomal RNA
Source: RNAcentral